GUUGGACUGGUGGGCGGAGUCAGAGGUCAGUGAUUUCCCCCAGGGAGAGCCCGGUGGGAGAGCAGCAGAGAGACCGACGGUCCCCAGGUGCAGCUACUAUCGGAGGGACUGAGAGACAGCGCGAGUGGAGGUGCCCGCUGACUUACCUGGCGGCGGGUGGCUGUACAGUGCUAAAGGACCGGAGACCGGAGCUUUUGAGACCAGCAGCGCUGAAUGGUGCGGCAGAGCGGUUAUUGUACCUCCCUCUGACUGCAGGGUAGCCGAGGUCCCUAGCAACGCAACAGACCGGGAGCCCUUCCAGCGGUAGCGACAAAGGAAGUGAUGGUGGUUCAGUUUAGUAUACCCAGAGGCUCCAGUUAGUGCUUCCUGGUGAGGGGUGGAGCCGCAGCGCAAGACAGACAGACGACUGUGACCUCCGAGGAGGAGUCAGGGGAGUGACAGAUGUGUGUGCAGUGAAACUGGACAGGAGGUCAUUAAAAUUGAUGAUAACCCUGGUGAAUAAUAGCUUGAAUUGCAUCGUGUUGCAUCACAGGGAAUAGCACUAUUUCAAAACUGGUGGGUGCCCAGGGGUCAGGAAACUCGGAAAUCCCUAUGACCCAGGUAAAUGCAGUUUACCAAGCACCGUUCUCCUGACUAAAUGUUGAAGAAUGCGGAGCCAUUGACCCAGCGUGCUGUAAAAGUAGAAGUGUAGGUAAGGCCUGGUUCCCGACGGCCGAUGAGUCAGCAAAAUAACAUCCAAAGCUUGGAGAAACCCACCCUUCCUUGUAUGCUAUAGUCACACACUAAACAAUGAUGCUGUGUUGAUUUACAUACAUGUAUUAUUACUCAUUGCUAACUGAAUGUGAAUACCAGGGAUGGGAUCUGAGGAAGCUGCAGGAGAUCACUUGUGACUCAUGAUGGCCAUCUACUGGUCAUAGAUCAAUAUUCUUCUCUGUACUCAUUAAAAUCUGUCACAACCGA
This is a long non-coding RNA of Pseudophryne corroboree (corroboree frog), 960 nucleotides long. RefSeq lists it as uncharacterized. The record is from RefSeq and is a predicted model, not a curated record. The transcript is spliced from 2 exons. Lineage: Eukaryota; Metazoa; Chordata; Amphibia; Anura; Myobatrachidae.